This is a ribosomal RNA of Erinaceus europaeus (western European hedgehog), 134 nucleotides long. NCBI's taxonomy places the organism in Eukaryota, Metazoa, Chordata, Mammalia, Eulipotyphla, Erinaceidae. The record is from Ensembl.
GUCUAUGGCCAUACCACCCCGAACACGCCCGAUCUCGUCUGAUCUAGGAAGCUAAGCAGGGUCGGGCCUGGUUAGUACUUGGAUGGGAGAAAGAAAGUAGAAAUUCCAGGGAGAGGACAGUCUGUGCAAAGACA